RNAcentral lists this long non-coding RNA (1458 nucleotides) under Homo sapiens (human). Its description in RNAcentral is "long intergenic non-protein coding RNA 635". Lineage: Eukaryota; Metazoa; Chordata; Mammalia; Primates; Hominidae. The record is from RNAcentral.
GUCUCUGUGUGGUCUCUUCAGCAUAGCAACAGCAGCGUAGCUGAACAUCUUACGGAUGGCCCAGGGCUCCAAAGGCUCGUUUCCUAAGUGAGAGAGAGCCUGGCUGAAGCUGUAUUACCAUUCAUUCUCCAGCCUCCGAAGUCUCAAAGCAUCACUUCCACCAUACUCUAACUGUCAAGACAAACACAAAGGCCCAGAAACUGCCAGACUGUCUUCUGAAGUGGCUAUAAUAUUUACACUCCCAUCAGCAGUGUAGAAGGGGUCUCACUAUGUUGUCUGGAGUGCUGUGGUGGAGUGGAGUGGCUAUUCACAGAGCCUGUUCUGCUGGGACACAGAAUCACUUGCUCCAUCUCAUACAUUGAUGAUGAUUAAUUUGUAUGUGUACCUUCCAAAAAAGAUGGUUGUGUUUGAAUGGAGGCCUUCUGGACAGGAAAAUAUGGAGAGUGCGUGCUUUGGAUUCAAGACUGGGAAUGAGGGGACCAGAAACCUAUUCUGUGGCUGUUUCUUGUUAGGACUUUCCUAAGCCUCUGGAAAAGUGCAAAGUACAAUUAACAUUUGAGUCUGUCUGAGUCAUGAAGAAAUGGAGAUUACUGAAAAUAAUUCAUUUUGGUAUCUUCUUACAUCCUGAGAGACUAAUCUUUCCAAGUUCAUCUGAGGCUCCUCUUCUCCAUGACAACCUCAUCCAGGGAUUUCUUCCUGUCCUGGUGUUUUAUGACAUAAUCACAUCCUUCCUGAGAUAAUGAGCACACAAUUGCCUGGAUACCUGAAGGAAUGGAGACAGCGGCAGAAAACACUGCAGAGAGAUACAGUGAACCCACAUGUUGAAGCUUUCUAGUAUAAUAAAAAUUUCAACUGUUCUGUUGAAUCAUCUGCCUGAUUGGAGGCUACAGAAAAGAUGUCAUCUUAGGAGUGCUUGCUCUGAGUGAGGCUCAUCUUCAAAUCUGAAUGACCACAAGGAGAUUUGAUUAUACAUGUGAACACCUCAGAAGGCACAGCCCACCCAGAAGGCAGACAGGUCAGGCUGCUUUUUCUUCAUUGCUUGGAUUCAAUCCUCCGGGCGGCUCAGGCUCAAACAUAACUUAAGCAUGAUUAAACUUUAGAAGAAGCUGCCAGGAAGACUGUGAAAUCUUCAUGCCCAAGGAUCCCUAAAAUUAGGAGCAACAACCACUUGGCUCAGACGGUUUAUGGAGGCAAAGGUUUGGAUGGGAUUAGAGAUUUCUAAAUGUGAGUUCGUGUCCUCUGCCAGACCACCUUACUUCCACCAUUCCUCAGCAAAUCAAGAAAAACAGGAGAAAAGACAUGCCUUUCCAUAAGUUAAAUCUAUUCUGUUUUAAUUCUAUAUUAUAUCUGCUGUACAACUUCUUUUGUUUGUAACACCAUAUUGUUGCUAGUAACUGGAAAUUAAUUUUCACAUGCCUCAGCUUAGAAAAAUAAAAAGCAGCCCUGCAUCAAUCCCAA